RNAcentral lists this ribosomal RNA (500 nucleotides) under uncultured Glomeromycotina. Its description in RNAcentral is "partial small subunit ribosomal RNA". It matches the Rfam family "Eukaryotic small subunit ribosomal RNA", at positions 591 to 1092 of the family's 1831-position model. Lineage: Eukaryota; Fungi; Glomeromycota. The record is from RNAcentral.
CCAAUAGCGUAUGUUAAAGUUGUUGCAGUUAAAAAGCUCGUAGUUGAAUUUCGGGAUCAAUAUGUCGGUCGUGCCUCCGGUACGUACUGGCAUCAUUGAUUUCUCCCUUCUGACGAACCAUGAUGUCAUUAAUUUGGUGUCAUGGGGAGUCAGGACUGUUACUUUGAAAAAAUUAGAGUGUUUAAAGCAGGCUCACGCUUGAAUACAUUAGCAUGGAAUAAUGAAAUAGGACGUUUGACCCUAUUUUGUUGGUUUCUAGGAUCAACGUAAUGAUUAAUAGGGAUAGUUGGGGGCAUUAGUAUUCAAUUGUCAGAGGUGAAAUUCUUGGAUUUAUUGAAGACUAACUACUGCGAAAGCACUUGCCAAGGAUGUUUUCAUUAAUCAAGAACGAAAGUUAGGGGAUCGAAGACGAUCAGAUACCGUCGUAGUCUUAACCAUAAACUAUGCCGACUAGGGAUCGGAUGAUGUUAAUUUUUUAAUGACUCAUUCGGCGCCUUACG